Molecule: unclassified non-coding RNA, 250 nt
Filed under: plant metagenome
Description: partial contains small subunit ribosomal RNA, internal transcribed spacer 1, and 5.8S ribosomal RNA
Source: RNAcentral
GUAGGUGAACCUGCGGAAGGAUCAUUAUCGAGUUUAGGGUCCUCUGGGCCCAAAAUCUCCCAAACCCCAUGUUUAACCAUCCUGUUGCUUUGGCGGGCCUUGAGUAGGCUAUACGGCUCAUGCCGGCCCCAGGCUUUGUUGCCUGGGGGCGGCUCGCGCCCGCCAGAGGUUUAAAUCAAAUCCUAUUAUCAGUGAUGUCCGAGUAAAUAUUAAAUAAUCAAAACUUUCAACAACGGAUCUCUUGGUUCUG